AGAACGAACGCUGGCGGCAUGCCUAACACAUGCAAGUCGAACGAGAUCUUCGGGUCUAGUGGCGCACGGGUGCGUAACGCGUGGGAAUCUGCCCUUAGGUACGGAAUAACAGUGAGAAAUUACUGCUAAUACCGUAUGAUGUCUUCGGACCAAAGAUUUAUCGCCUAGGGAUGAGCCCGCGUUGGAUUAGCUAGUUGGUGGGGUAAAGGCCUACCAAGGCGACGAUCCAUAGCUGGUCUGAGAGGAUGAUCAGCCACACUGGGACUGAGACACGGCCCAGACUCCUACGGGAGGCAGCAGUGGGGAAUAUUGGACAAUGGGCGAAAGCCUGAUCCAGCAAUGCCGCGUGAGUGAAGAAGGCCUUCGGGUUGUAAAGCUCUUUACCCGGGAAGAUAAUGACUGUACCGGGAGAAUAAGCCCGGCUAACUCCGCGCCAGCACGCCGC
This 445-nucleotide ribosomal RNA is filed under the name uncultured bacterium. Its description in RNAcentral is "SSU rRNA". It matches the Rfam family "Bacterial small subunit ribosomal RNA", at positions 26 to 518 of the family's 1533-position model. The record is from RNAcentral.